RNAcentral lists this ribosomal RNA (508 nucleotides) under uncultured bacterium. Its description in RNAcentral is "partial 16S ribosomal RNA". It matches the Rfam family "Bacterial small subunit ribosomal RNA", at positions 29 to 523 of the family's 1533-position model. The record is from RNAcentral.
AUUGAACGCUGGCGGCAUGCCUUACACAUGCAAGUCGAACGGCAGCGGGGGAGAAGCUUGCUUUUCCUGCCGGCGAGUGGCGAACGGGGGAGUAAUACAGCGGAACGUGCCCUGUAGUGGGGGGUGACUAGUAGAAAGAUUAGCUAAUACGGCAUACGACCUGGGGGUGACAGUGGGGGCGCGCAAGGCCUCAUGCUAUAGGAACGGCCCAUGUCUGAGGGGCUAGUGGGUGGGGUAAAGGCCUACCAAGGCGACGUUCAGUAGCUGGUCUGAGAGGACGAUCAGCCACACUGGGACUGAGACACGGCCCAGACGCCUACGGGAGGCAGCAGUGGGGAAUUUUGGACAAUGGGCGAAAGCCUGAUCCAGCCAUGCCGCGUGUGUGAAGAAGGCCUUCGGGUUGUAAAGCACUUUUGGUCGGAAAGAAAUGGCUCUGGUUAAUAUCUGGGGUAGAUGACGGUACCGGAAGAAUAAGGACCGGCUAACUACGUGCCAGCCGCCGCCGUAA